CUCACAACCGGCUGGGUGCCGUGCCCGGGUUUCUCUCCCCAGCAACCCGGCGUUGUCCCGGGGGUUUCCCUCAGGAAGGGCAAGUGAACAUGCAUCAGAUACAGACAGCAAUAUGCACAAGUAGGGAUAUUGCAGGAAUGUUUUGUUGUCUCCAGAAUACAUCUGCACUUGCACACUGAUGUAUGAGAACCUUUUACUGUGACAGAAUAGUUCAUGGAGGCCCAGAGAGGACACGUGUAGGCCAUGCUCCUUGAUACAGUUCCCAACACCUCUGGGAGCAUUUUCAAAUGAAGUGUCCACAAGCACAGUGCCUGCAGUCUAAAGCGCCUGGCUUUGCACUUCCAUGCAUGCCAUGAUGUGAUGUUUUCUAUGUCAGCAGAGACAUCCCUAGUAAUUGCAGAAUACUAGUGAAGUGGAAAUUCCCUCUUUACAAUUUUCUGAUGCUUUUCUCCCUGGUGACUGGGAAUCCUGAGGUGCCAGCAGAAUAAAACCAGCUAUCUGAGGAUAAUGGCUGAAAAAAAUAGACGCUAGGAACCAAGCUGCUGAGCUAAGAAAGGAGCUGAAUACCGUAGGCCUAUAAAAAUAUUACCUCGAUUAAAACCUGAAAGACGAGAUACUGGACCCAAAUGCACUAAAG
This is a non-coding RNA of Cyanistes caeruleus (blue tit), 637 nucleotides long. NCBI's taxonomy places the organism in Eukaryota, Metazoa, Chordata, Aves, Passeriformes, Paridae. The record is from RefSeq and is a predicted model, not a curated record.